AGCCCAAUGGGGUAAUUGGUGCGGUACGCCGCCCAUGACUGGAAACCUACAGGCAAAGACAAAUCGAGUGUUGCGGGAUUACGGGUACGGCCGAUGGCGCAAGCCUUCGUCGGACCCCUCCAUCCCAGGGUGUCCCGUCCGGGUGCUUGCACCCAGCGGACAUCCCCGGAGUGCGUAGGAUGUGACCCGAAAGAUGGUGAACUAUGCCUGAUCAGGUUGAAGUCAGGGGAAACCCUGAUGGAGGACCGAAGCAAUUCUGACGUGCAAAUCGAUUGUCAGAGUUUAUAAGGGGCCGAAAGACC
RNAcentral lists this ribosomal RNA (302 nucleotides) under Anopheles minimus E. Its description in RNAcentral is "eukaryotic LSU rRNA". It matches the Rfam family "Eukaryotic large subunit ribosomal RNA", at positions 689 to 932 of the family's 3401-position model. The record is from RNAcentral. Lineage: Eukaryota; Metazoa; Arthropoda; Insecta; Diptera; Culicidae.